Molecule: long non-coding RNA, 1020 nt
Filed under: Calidris pugnax (ruff)
Lineage: Eukaryota; Metazoa; Chordata; Aves; Charadriiformes; Scolopacidae
Description: lncRNA (ENSCPUG00000002542.1)
Source: RNAcentral
CCCCGGCCGGAGCCGGCCGCCGGGGCAAAGCCCGGACCGGGCGAUACCCCCCGUCCCGCUGCGGGGCCAGCCCUCAUGGCCCGCCGGCCCCCCGGGCCCUGCCGGCGGCGGGGUCCGGAGGCGUCCGGUGGGGCUGCGCGCCCCGGGAUGCCGCUUGCCGUGUCAUCUGCCCCGGCAGCGCUCCGCCACCGCCUCGGCGCAACCUCCCCGGGCUUAUAUAACUCCCCGCUUGGAGCGGGGCCAGCGGCUCGAUCGCCGGGCUGUGCCGAGGCCCGCACGCCGGCCCACGGGUCGCCCGUGGGGUCUGCCCCGGCACCCGGCGGCCCCCUCCGUGUGGCGUUAACUGCUUCCCCGCCGUCCCGCGGCCCUGUGGCGGGGGGGGGCAGCCCGGCGUGUGCGAGCCACCGGCCACCUCCUCUCCUCUCAUCUCCUGGGAUUAUCCAGCGCGAGGAUGACAACUCCCGCUCCCUCCCGCGGCAUCACCUGCCAGGGAAUGUGCUGACAAAGUGCCCACACGGAGGGGUAGGGCUUCCCUGCUGCUCCCUCCCAGGAAAAGCAGACGCUGGAAGCCCAGAGAUGGUGGAAGCUCGGAGAUGCUGGGCUGCAGAGGAUCCUGUUGCCACUUCCUGCUCCCCGACUGCGCUGUCUCCAUUUGGUACAUGUGAGCUGGAGGCCACAGCAUGGCCAGCCAUAACAAGGCAGGUUCCCUGCCACCCGAGUGGCCUUUCUGCACCGCGGCGCGUCAGAGGCACCAGGCAACCCCGCUCUAUAUUUAGGCUGUGGAGAAUUCCCCUGGGCUCUCCCUUCCGAGCUGAAAAGGUCCUGACCCACCAGAGUCACCCUGGACCGUGCACUCAUCUCUUCAGCUUGGGCAUUUCUGCCUGGAGACCCCCACCAAGGUGGAGGGAAGGGCUUGGAGUCACCUCGCUCGUCUGCAGGGACAUCUUGCCAUCAGGACCUAUCCCUGCCGGGGAAAGCAGAGCAGGGGCCACGCUUCCUCCGUGGACCUGGAGCCUGUGA